GGAAGUGGCACGGUAACUGGUGUGCCGCCCGGGCUUCAAACCCGGUGUGAGUCGCUAAUCCCGGCUCGGGUGGGUUCGAUUCCCAUCCACUUCCGCCA
Molecule: transfer RNA, 98 nt
Filed under: Myxococcales bacterium
Lineage: Bacteria; Pseudomonadati; Myxococcota; Myxococcia; Myxococcales
Description: tRNA-Sec
Rfam family: Selenocysteine transfer RNA
Source: RNAcentral